CAUGAAACCGAAAACAACAUGAAAAUUAGAGCAAUGAUUAUCAUGGUCAUGACUUUGCUGGCCUUGACAACUGGCAUAGUGGAACCGGAUUGUCCAAAACGGUCGCAGUGUUGGAAAGAAUAUAAACGUGAACGCAUAAUGUUUCGUUAACGUUAAAACGCAGAAAUUUUACAAAAAAUCUAGUAUUAAGAAUUAUCAAUCAGCAGACAAUGAACUGCGGCGGCAUUUCGCUGUAAGAAUAAUCACAAGCACUGAUAAGGAUAUAUAUAUUUACGGAUGUUCGACUGCAUCAGUAGAGUGAGAUCUCGCUGGAAUAAUAAAUAUGCUCAUAACAGUUCAUUGUAACAGCA
Molecule: long non-coding RNA, 350 nt
Organism: Scaptodrosophila lebanonensis
Lineage: Eukaryota; Metazoa; Arthropoda; Insecta; Diptera; Drosophilidae
Exons: 3
Source: RefSeq, a predicted model, not a curated record